AGGAAACACCAAUUACAGCUAUAAUAUUCCGGGAGUUUAUUCAUUUUACAAUGGAUAUUGAUCGUAAUAUUUAUUGUAUAUGAUAUUACUCGCCAAAAGAAAAUUAAUUAUCCGCCGGCCGGGUGGGGAAUUCCGGGACCAGGCCGCCGCCAUUAGGGGAGUCCCAAAUGGUGACGUCACUGGGUGGGUCUUCGCUCCGGGUAUCCAUACCGGAAGUCAACACAACGUAGCAGAUAUGGCAGCGAUGGAGGAAUUUUGCAAUGAGAUCGACGUUUUGAACGAUGAAUUUGACUAUUCGUCGGGAGAUUACAUUGAUGUGGAAGCUUCUACAGUUACCAGGCAUCCCAUGGCCUAUGCUUAUGAACCGAUUCGGUCGAAUACUAGAGUGGCAUACGAUCCGGAAUCCGCCGAAAGUACCGACGGUUCUGAACUCGCCGAGUGGGAUACCAACAGUUCCAGUACCGACUCGGUCUCAGUGUUCACAAACUGAACCCACAGACGUCUCCAGUACAGAGUCCCGUGGACGGAUAAAUGGGGCACGACUGUAACUGCUACCAGACCCCACGAGGGAAUAUUAUCAGGAAGGACAACAUCUCUAUCAACACGGCAGAUAUACGGAAAAGGGGGGGAGAAUCAUCCUUCAUUCAUCAUGUGCAUAUUUAGGUUUUAGGUCAAAUGUAAUAUUAAAAAUAUGCCACAGAAGCCCUCAUAACUCUUGGAACCUUGA
This is a long non-coding RNA of Gymnodraco acuticeps, 727 nucleotides long. RefSeq lists it as uncharacterized. The transcript has 3 exons. Lineage: Eukaryota; Metazoa; Chordata; Actinopteri; Perciformes; Bathydraconidae. The record is from RefSeq and is a predicted model, not a curated record.